AUAGCCAGCCAAGAAAACAUGUGCUGCCAGCUGUCUGCAUAAUAUGCAAAAUAAGAGAGAAGUUUGAGACUGUCAGGAAUUCUCGCCAGAGGGUGAAACUUGUCAAGGCAGAGACUGUUGAUGGUGGAUUGUUGCGAAAAGCAGCAGAAGCAAAGAAGGAUGAGAGUGUGCUUGUACACAUAAGAGAUAAGGACUGUGUAGCUCUUAAGGUCUACUACCACAGAACCUGCUAUGGAUCAUGCACCAAAUUCUUGACAAGAUCUAAAUCAGAAAGUCAGACACCAGAUGGAAGAUUGUCUGAAGGUUACAAAGAGAUUUGCAGAACCGUUGUUAAACAGAGACUGAUAAGUAACCAGGAAGUUCUACGAAUGUCAACAUUGGUAAACAUCUCAUAAUCGAUGGUAUGGCACUCAUCCAGAGUUUGCAAAAUAUCCCAGCAACUUUUGGGGAGCUUGGUGAUCUGAUACUAACCCAGGUCAUCCAACAAGCACAGAAGUCGGGCUGCAGCAGAGUGGAUUAUGUUACGGACCGUUAUCCGGCCAUCAGUACAAAAAACACUGAGAGAAUGAGAAGAGCAUCUGAUGGUUCUUAAAAGAUUCAGAUCCAUAGUAAGCAGCAAAGGACUAGUGGGGACAACAAGGAGGCACUGGAAGAAUUUCUGUACUCAGCUUAGGCAGAGGGAGACUUCAGAAGUGUGAAAAAAACAAUAGAUGUCUAUUUGACACAUGGAUCAAUGUGUCACCUCAUAAGAGUAACAGCAGGUUCUUCACAUAUCAGUGUCAGUGAUUAUGUAGCGAUAUUUGUGCCUUCUGAUUCGAACCAAUCCGAGCGUGCAGUGAGACAACACGUGCGCGCUCAAAACCGGUCUGGCGCGAGUUCAACUCUGAAAAACCCUUCUCAAUCCACCGUCCUCGCGCUCAGUUCCAUCUGUGCUCGCGUGCUCGACCUGCUCAUUCCACGCGCAAGCACAAAUACUGCAAUCAGAUGGAUUAAAUCAAAAUGCUGCAGCUUUUGGCAGAAACUACUAAACAUAAUGGUGGGAUUGAAGGAAAAAAAGAAAAAUAAAUAAACAGUUUAAUAUUUUUGCCUAAAAUAUUUAGACUAAAAUAUUUGAGUUACUAAGAGUUACUAAGUGAGGUGUGAAAAAUUAUUUUGUCUCUUUUCUUUCCAGCUUCGGAGAAGAGAUGCAAAAACUUCUUCUGAUCAUAAUCAUCAUCAUUGUCAUCAUUAUUUGAAAAGCACUUUAGAUAAGAGAUACAUCAGAUAAGAGAUAACAUCUAAUAAAAUGACUUGGCUAAACACUCAACAAUAAAAAAAAAAA
Fundulus heteroclitus (mummichog) is the source of this 1321-nucleotide long non-coding RNA. RefSeq lists it as uncharacterized. The transcript has 3 exons. NCBI's taxonomy places the organism in Eukaryota, Metazoa, Chordata, Actinopteri, Cyprinodontiformes, Fundulidae. The record is from RefSeq and is a predicted model, not a curated record.